This 237-nucleotide long non-coding RNA is filed under the name Lathyrus oleraceus (garden pea). RNAcentral's name for it is "Pisum sativum (pea) long non-coding RNA (PSAT_LNC018422)". Lineage: Eukaryota; Viridiplantae; Streptophyta; Magnoliopsida; Fabales; Fabaceae. The record is from RNAcentral.
GAUUAGUCUCUUCAUCUUCUCCCAAUUUCUUUAAAUUCAAAAUCUCUCUCUCCCUUUUCAAAAUCUUAUUUGAUUGAACUUAUUUUGUUCUAAACUUUGACCAUUUUGCAAAAAAGAUAGAAACUUUGGCCUUAUGCCAUUGAAUUUUCAAACUUCCUUUUCUUAAUCAAACUUGUAAAUAGACUUAACUAUACUUGACCUAAACAUUCAAAAAGCCAAAUAAGAACUAACUCAAUC